CCAGAUGAUACAAGAGCAAAGGGAGUAUCUUGAUACAAAACUUACAACUCAAGAGAGAUACAUUGUCGAUAAUUACAAGAAGUUGAACGAAGCCUUUAUAAGCCGAUCAAAUUCGCGCGAUCGAACUUUUAAACGAAGGGAGGACCAUGUUUUUUAUGAUGACUUUGAGUCCGAGUAUGUACCUAGAGAAAGGGUGGAACGAAACAAUGACACCCCCAAACCAAAAUUUCCUUCUUUCUCAGGGAAGAAUGAUCCUGAUGCUUACCUUGAUUGGGAGGAAAAGAUGGAAGCAAUAUUUGCUUGUUACAAUUACUCUGAUGAGAAGAAGGUAACAUACGCUGUCGCUGAGUUCAUUAAUUAUGCACUAACAUGGUGGAAUCAAUUAUGUAAAAGCAGGAUUCUUUAUAGAGAGCAACCUGUUACUACUUGGGUUGAAAUGAAGCGCAUCUUACGAAAACGGUUUGUUCCACCAUACUAUUAUCAAGAACUCCAUCAAAGACUCCA
Molecule: long non-coding RNA, 504 nt
Filed under: Gossypium barbadense (sea-island cotton)
Lineage: Eukaryota; Viridiplantae; Streptophyta; Magnoliopsida; Malvales; Malvaceae
Description: long non-coding RNA (GBAR_LNC018082)
Source: RNAcentral